RNAcentral lists this ribosomal RNA (236 nucleotides) under uncultured bacterium. RNAcentral describes it as "partial 16S ribosomal RNA". It matches the Rfam family "Bacterial small subunit ribosomal RNA", at positions 524 to 759 of the family's 1533-position model. The record is from RNAcentral.
GACGUAGGGUGCGAGCGUUGUCCGGAUUUAUUGGGCGUAAAGAGCUCGUAGGCGGUCUGUCGCGUCUGGUGUGAAAACUCAGGGCUUAACCCUGAGCUUGCAUCGGGUACGGGCAGACUAGAGUGCGGUAGGGGAGACUGGAAUUCCUGGUGUAGUGGUGAAAUGCGUAGAGAUCGGCAGGAACACCCAGGGGGAAACCAGCUGCCUGGGCAAGCGCUGACGCUGAGGUGCGAGAG